This 253-nucleotide ribosomal RNA is filed under the name uncultured bacterium. Its description in RNAcentral is "partial 16S ribosomal RNA". It matches the Rfam family "Bacterial small subunit ribosomal RNA", at positions 524 to 776 of the family's 1533-position model. The record is from RNAcentral.
UACGUAGGUGGCAAGCGUUGUCCGGAUUCAUUGGGCGUAAAGCGCGGGCAGGCGGCCUGCUCAGUCGGCCGUGAAAGCGCCGGGCUCAACUCGGCGAGGUCGGGCGAUACUGGCAGGCUGGAGGCUGGUAGAGGGCGGUGGAAUUCCGGGUGUAGUGGUGGAAUGCGUAGAGCUCCGGAGGAACACCAGUGGCGAAGGCGGCCGCCUGGGCCAGUCCUGACGCUGAGCCGCGAAAGCGUGGGGAGCGAUCCGG